This 483-nucleotide ribosomal RNA is filed under the name uncultured bacterium. Its description in RNAcentral is "partial 16S ribosomal RNA". It matches the Rfam family "Bacterial small subunit ribosomal RNA", at positions 29 to 506 of the family's 1533-position model. The record is from RNAcentral.
AUUGAACGCUAGCGGGAUGCUUUACACAUGCAAGUCGAACGGCAGCGCGGACUUCGGUCUGGCGGCGAGUGGCGAACGGGUGAGUAAUGUAUCGGAACGUGCCCAGUAGCGGGGGAUAACUACGCGAAAGCGUAGCUAAUACCGCAUACGCCCUACGGGGGAAAGCAGGGGAUCGUAAGACCUUGCACUAUUGGAGCGGCCGAUAUCGGAUUAGCUAGUUGGUGAGGUAACGGCUCACCAAGGCGACGAUCCGGAGCUGGUUUGAGAGGACGACCAGCCAACCGGGGAUUGAGACAGGGCCCAACCCCCUCGGGGGGGCAGGAGGGGGGAAUUUUGGAAAAGGGGGGAAACCCUGACCCACCCACCCCGGGUGGGGGAGGAAGGCCUUCGGGUUGUAAAGCACUUUUGGCAGGAAAGAAACGUCGCGGGUUAAUACCCCGGGGAACUGACGGUACCUGCAAAAUAAGCCCCGGCUAACUACGU